This 772-nucleotide ribosomal RNA is filed under the name uncultured bacterium. RNAcentral describes it as "bacterial SSU rRNA". It matches the Rfam family "Bacterial small subunit ribosomal RNA", at positions 482 to 1262 of the family's 1533-position model. The record is from RNAcentral.
UGGAAUUCGCCCUUGUGCCAGCCGCCGCGUGUAAUACGUAGGGUGCGAGCGUUGUCCGGAAUUAUUGGGCGUAAAGAGCUUGUAGGCGGUUUGUCGCGUCUGCUGUGAAAAUCCGGGGCUCAACCCCGGACUUGCAGUGGGUACGGGCAGACUAGAGUGUGGUAGGGGAGACUGGAAUUCCUGGUGUAGCGGUGAAAUGCGCAGAUAUCAGGAGGAACACCGAUGGCGAAGGCAGGUCUCUGGGCCACUACUGACGCUGAGAAGCGAAAGCAUGGGGAGCGAACAGGAUUAGAUACCCUGGUAGUCCAUGCCGUAAACGUUGGGAACUAGGUGUGGGUCUCAUUCCACGAGAUCCGUGCCGCAGCUAACGCAUUAAGUUCCCCGCCUGGGGAGUACGGCCGCAAGGCUAAAACUCAAAGGAAUUGACGGGGGCCCGCACAAGCGGCGGAGCAUGCGGAUUAAUUCGAUGCAACGCGAAGAACCUUACCAAGGCUUGACAUACACCGGAAACAUCCAGAGAUGGGUGCCCCGCAAGGUCGGUGUACAGGUGGUGCAUGGUUGUCGUCAGCUCGUGUCGUGAGAUGUUGGGUUAAGUCCCGCAACGAGCGCAACCCUCGUUCUAUGUUGCCAGCGCGUAAAGGCGGGGACUCAUAGGAGACUGCCGGGGUCAACUCGGAGGAAGGUGGGGAUGACGUCAAAUCAUCAUGCCCCUUAUGUCUUGGGCUUCACGCAUGCUACAAUGGCCGGUACAAAGGGCUGCGAUACCGCAAGG